AGCAGCCGCGGUAAUUCCAGCUCCAAUAGCGUAUAUUAAAGUUGUUGCAGUUAAAAAGCUCGUAGUUGAAUUUCGGGGUUAGUAAGUUGGUCGUGCCACUGGUAUGUACUGGCUUUACUGAUUCCUUCUUCUUGUAGAACCGUAAUGCCAUUAAGUUGGUGUUGCGGGGAAACAGGACUGUUACUUUGAAAAAAUUAGAGUGUUUAAAGCAAGCUAACGCUUGAAUACAUUAGCAUGGAAUAAUGAAAUAGGACGUUCGAUCCUAUUUUGUUGGUUUCUAGGAUUGACGUAAUGAUUAAUAGGGAUAGUUGGGGGCAUUAGUAUUCAAUUGUCAGAGGUGAAAUUCUUGGAUUUAUUGAAGACUAACUACUGCGAAAGCAUUUGCCAAGGAUGUUAUCAUUAAUCAAGAACGAAAGUUAGGGGAUCGAAGACGAUCAGAUACCGUCGUAGUCUUAACCAUAAACUAUGCCGACUAGGGAUCGGAUGAUGUUAAUUUUAUAAUGACUCAUUCGGCGCCUUA
This 520-nucleotide ribosomal RNA is filed under the name uncultured Glomus. RNAcentral's name for it is "SSU rRNA". It matches the Rfam family "Eukaryotic small subunit ribosomal RNA", at positions 569 to 1090 of the family's 1831-position model. The record is from RNAcentral. Lineage: Eukaryota; Fungi; Glomeromycota; Glomeromycetes; Glomerales; Glomeraceae.